Molecule: long non-coding RNA, 491 nt
Filed under: Helianthus annuus (common sunflower)
Lineage: Eukaryota; Viridiplantae; Streptophyta; Magnoliopsida; Asterales; Asteraceae
Description: hypothetical non coding rna
Source: RNAcentral
UUCCAACCAAUAAUUUCGCCAUAACUAUCGCACAUUAUAUGAAUUUUCGUAACCGACUUGGAGUGAGCAUUAGAUGAUUAACAUUGUGGUUGGAUUCUUAUAACCCGUUAAAACCUGGUCUCACAAGUUCACACGCUCCACCAAAGUUCACCCAUAACCGCCGAACACCCAUCACCGCAACCCACCGGAAACGCCGCCGCAGGUCCGCCGUUUUGGCCACCGUCACCACUACCAUCACCGCGAAGCAGUGUAUAUUGGUGCCGCCCUCGGUUUAUUUUUGUAGGCGACCACAUAAAUCGUAUCCCCGAAAUUAACUCGUUGUUUUGCUCGCCGUCAGUAAAGGUUCGUAUACUAUUUGGGGACGAUUUGAUUUCUAUGUUACUUGGUUUUGCUUUGCCAAAUUAAGUAUAUGUUUCUGUAAUAUGGGAUGAUCUGGGAUUUCAGUGAAGAGCGUUAGGAAGUUGCUAGUCAAGAUUCUUUAUUUCAGUAAU